UCAUUGCUUUCAGAUGCAGUUUGGAUGUUCUCUGUAUUUUUUCAGAAUUUCACAUAAUUUUUGUCCUUUAUUUUUUCCUAUUUUAAUCUGCUGUGAGGAGACUUUCUUUGGGUGACGCUUUUGAUUCAACAUUCUCUUGUCUAUUCUCUCAACAGGACCCAUACUUAAUUUUUUAAACACUAUUUAGAGGAUUUGCAAAUCCUGAUUUACCAUCUGAUUCGUUUCACAGUUAGUUCAGUGAAAUUAAAAAAAGACUCUAAAGAUCAACAUUCAACACAAAGAUGACGUUUAGAGAAAACAGAAGUAAAAGAGAGACAGAGAGGGUAAAAGUCUCGGAUCUCAGCCAUGCCCUGAUACCAACAUGAUGAAAAUUUCUCACCGGUGGUUGUUGGUCAGGUGUUUGCUCUGCGAUCCACAGACUUGCAUCUUGGGCUUGGCAGAGACUCAGAAACGUUUUCAACCAUCCUGAUGAUGAUGUUAAACUGUCCGUGGAGGAGACUGAACCAGCACCGUUCCAGAGCUCAGUGCGUCCUUUCUACAGUGAGGACAGAGCCUAGCGAACCAGGGAACCAGUCCAAAUCCUGCGCUCUGAUUGGCUGGUGAGCGGGUCCGUAUCCUAUGGUACAGACCCCAGUUACGGACCCCGGUUACGGACCUCUGGCGACUCACUCGUUCACAACAACAACAAGCAUAGUAGCAUUUUUUGUCAACAUUUAUCUUUUUUUAUAAGAUUUAUUUAUAAUACAGGAAAUACAGGAUACAGGAAAUCAUUCCUACCCACAGCAAUCAGACUUUACAACUCAUCUACCUCUGUUAGAGCCAUGAUCACACAUCUGGACUAAUUCUACCUGUCACCCUCUGCACCACAUAUAAUAUAGUAUAACGUAUACUUAGUGUUUAUUAUGGGACAAGUGACAUGGGAAUAUUAUCCGUAUUGAUAUUAUAUAUCAUAUUUUUGCAAUAUUCGCAUCCUAUUGCACAUUCUAUGUACAUAUUUAUUGUAUAUUAUUUAAGGUAUGUGUAUAUCUUGUUUAUAUCUUAUUUUUUUAUUCUCUUGACCUCAGUAUUUUAUUUUAUUUUAUUGUAUUUUUUAUUGUAUUCAAAUUUACCGGACUGCUAUGACAAUCUAAUUUCCCUUUGGGGAUGAAUAAAGUUAUCUAUCUAUC
Molecule: long non-coding RNA, 1166 nt
Organism: Neoarius graeffei (lesser salmon catfish)
Lineage: Eukaryota; Metazoa; Chordata; Actinopteri; Siluriformes; Ariidae
Exons: 4
Source: RefSeq, a predicted model, not a curated record